UACGAAGGGGGCUAGCGUUGCUCGGAAUUACUGGGCGUAAAGGGCGCGUAGGCGGGUCGUUUAGUUAGAGGUGAAAGCCCAGGGCUCAACCCUGGAAUUGCCUUUAAUACUGGCGGCCUUGAGUAUGGCAGAGGUGUGUGGAACUCCGAGUGUAGAGGUGAAAUUCGUAGAUAUUCGGAAGAACACCAGUGGCGAAGGCGACACACUGGGCCAUUACUGACGCUGAGGCGCGAAAGCGUGGGGAG
Molecule: ribosomal RNA, 245 nt
Filed under: uncultured Phenylobacterium sp.
Lineage: Bacteria; Pseudomonadati; Pseudomonadota; Alphaproteobacteria; Caulobacterales; Caulobacteraceae
Description: partial 16S ribosomal RNA
Rfam family: Bacterial small subunit ribosomal RNA
Source: RNAcentral